RNAcentral lists this long non-coding RNA (290 nucleotides) under Mytilus galloprovincialis (Mediterranean mussel). The record is from RNAcentral. Lineage: Eukaryota; Metazoa; Mollusca; Bivalvia; Mytilida; Mytilidae.
AAAAACAAAAUCGAGGUAACAAACUAAAACCGAGGGAAACGCAUUAAAUAUAAGAGGAGAACAACGACACAACACUAAAAUGUAACACACACAGAAACGGACCAAGCAUCAGACAAAAUCCCACGAGAAUAACAAAUAUAACAUCAAAACCAAAUACAUGAAUUUGGGAUAGACAAGUACCGUGACACGUCUUAUCGCAAUGUGAAAUUACACUCAAAAAUAAGAGAAAACAAACGACGCAACGUUGAAAUGUAACACACACAGAAACGAACAAUAAUAUAACAAUGGCC